CCUUGGAUCGGCUCCUAAGCAGGUUGUAGAGCCAUGUUCAUCAUCAUCGAUAGAAUCCCGACCUCAGGUUUGGUAAUCAUCGAUCAAGUGGUUAGACAAGAGCUAAUAACAUAAAGCCGCUUUGUUUUGGUUCCUUGGGUCUCCCUUCAGUUUUCAGGCCUACCCUGUCAGUGAACACUUGAUUUUGAUCUAAAGGGGAGACAUUGAGACGG
RNAcentral lists this long non-coding RNA (212 nucleotides) under Elaeis guineensis (African oil palm). Its description in RNAcentral is "long non-coding RNA (EGUI_LNC055100)". The record is from RNAcentral. Lineage: Eukaryota; Viridiplantae; Streptophyta; Magnoliopsida; Arecales; Arecaceae.